This is a long non-coding RNA of Lolium perenne, 659 nucleotides long. RefSeq lists it as uncharacterized. The record is from RefSeq and is a predicted model, not a curated record. NCBI's taxonomy places the organism in Eukaryota, Viridiplantae, Streptophyta, Magnoliopsida, Poales, Poaceae.
UCUUUUUAUAUAUGCCUACAGGUUGUUCCAUGAAAAGACAAGUGAGUUUUGGUCUGUAGAAGAAGAUUGGUCUAUUAUGCUGAAAGGAGACAGCCUCCAUGGUGAGAAGUCGGCGCGACAAUGCUGGUGCAGCUGCUCCACGAUGGUGGCGGGCAGUUCAAAGGAUUUGCAGCUUCUGUCAUCAGGGAGAGAGGAUAGCUGAUAAUUUUGGUGUUCUGUGCUGUUGAAUCAUGGGAGAGCCACCUAAUUGUGGAUGCCAAAUGAAGCGUCGGGAAAAUUUGUCUGCCACACAAUAGAAGGUGAGUACUAAAUGAUUGAUUGAGCGUUAAGUUUUCUAUGUAGUCUUGAAUGAGCAUAUGACCAAUUAAGUGUAAAUUAUAACGUGAUAAUUUUAAUUUCCCCUGUAGUCUGAAUGAGCAUAUGAUCAGUUUAGUAUAAAUUAUUAGACAUCUUCUUUUGCUUUGCAGUAGUAACUCAUGAGUAUUAUUUUAUCUACAACUGGUAAUUCUAAUAGGGGAUUAGGUGUUGAUGCUGUCUUCGUCUCAAGAAAUGCUGGGCCUACUUUUUGAUCAUGAAUAACAAAGAUAAAUAUGUCUUUGCCACUUUACUAGCUUACAUAAUGUUUUCUAUUUCACAUAACGAUGUUUUGCUUCUAUAAG